Arabidopsis lyrata subsp. lyrata is the source of this 508-nucleotide long non-coding RNA. RefSeq lists it as uncharacterized. The transcript has 2 exons. NCBI's taxonomy places the organism in Eukaryota, Viridiplantae, Streptophyta, Magnoliopsida, Brassicales, Brassicaceae. The record is from RefSeq and is a predicted model, not a curated record.
AGAGAAUUGCUUUAAAUGUUAAUAAACUAAUAAAUUAAUUAAUUUCAUUGGACCCUUACACAUUGUACAAAUGGAAGUUGGAAUCGAGGACUGACUGCAUAUCGAGUUUGAGUACAAUAAAAGCAAGUAUCACCUAAAAGAUGUUAUCCUUGGGAAAAUAUAAUUUCUUCUGGUGAGAAUCAAGAUAAAGAAAUGGAUCUUGAGAUCAGACGACAAGAAUCAGUUAGAGCAGGAGCUAAUACUCACGUACAACAAUUUCUAAGAAUGCUAUGCGGGUCAGUUCUCACCAAACAAAGAGAAGGAAGAUGAGAGCGAUAAAGAAGUUUUCACUCUGUCAAUUUGUCAAAUAAUCCAAGGUUUUUAGCUUCUGCAUUUAUGGUUUAAAGAUAAGAGAAAAUUCUUUGAUUUGGAACUAAGUUCCUUUGAUUUGGUCUCUCUUCAAGUAAAUAUUGUAAAUGUAAACGCACAAUGUAAGAUUUUUAUCUCUUCUAAAAUAACGAUUCCUAUC